RNAcentral lists this ribosomal RNA (468 nucleotides) under uncultured bacterium. RNAcentral's name for it is "partial 16S ribosomal RNA". It matches the Rfam family "Bacterial small subunit ribosomal RNA", at positions 28 to 507 of the family's 1533-position model. The record is from RNAcentral.
GACGAACGCUGGCGGCGUGCUUAACACAUGCAAGUCGAACGGAAAGGCCCUGCUUUUGUGGGGUGCUCGAGUGGCGAACGGGUGAGUAACACGUGAGUAACCUGCCCUUGACUUUGGGACAACUUCAGGAAACUGGGGCUAAUACCGGAUAGGAGCUCCUGCUGCAUGGUGGGGGUUGGAAAGUUUCGGCGGUUGGGGAUGGACUCGCGGCUUAUCAGCUUGUUGGUGGGGUAGUGGCUUACCAAGGCUUUGACGGGUAGCCGGCCUGAGAGGGUGACCGGCGACAUUGGGACUGAGAUACGGCCCAGACGCCUACGGGAGGCAGCAGUGGGGAAUAUUGCACAAUGGGCGGAAGUCUGAUGCAGCAACGCCGCGUGCGGGAUGACGGCCUUCGGGUUGUAAACAGCUUUCGCCUGUGACGAAGCGGGAGUGACGGUAAUGGGUAAAGAAGCACCGGCUAACUACGUG